Molecule: long non-coding RNA, 4603 nt
Organism: Xiphophorus couchianus (Monterrey platyfish)
Lineage: Eukaryota; Metazoa; Chordata; Actinopteri; Cyprinodontiformes; Poeciliidae
Exons: 2
Source: RefSeq, a predicted model, not a curated record
CUCCAACCCCCAGACACACACACACACACACACCGCCUGUCCCUUCUCGUUCCCAUGCCUAGACAGCCGGCUUGACAGCCAGUGACAAGUGCAGCUGGAUCUGCUGCUGUCCAUCACUGAGACUGGCUUUCAGCAGAGUUCUGUCUUACUACCAGAGGCUUCUCUGUCUCCUGCCAGACAUGCUGCCAGGACCAAACAAGGCAAGGCCAAGCUCUGCAGCAUGAUGGUGGAGGACAUUUUCUCGGCUCUGACAGCGGAGAAAAUGCAACAACAAGGUGGCCCUGCUGCAGCCACCAGCGCCUUUCAGGCUCCUGGAUUGGGUAUUAUUGUAUGCAGCUGCUGGAACCAGAUCCUCCUGCAUUACAGACCUGAGCACAGAGUGUGAUGACUUUUUCAGCCCCUUGAGAAGGAUGGAAAGCAGGUUAUGACUCUGCUCCAUAUACAGAAAAACCAAUGGAAUAAAGUACAUUUUUAAUUAUGCCCCGGAUGGAUCAGGACAUACAUGGGUGGUUUGCUCACAAUAAAUGCUGCAUAUAUUUACUAAAUGAAUAUAAACAUGUAUCAUAAAAACUUGUGCAGGGAAGUCAUUAUUCUAACUUAUAAAAACAGAUGUGAGCACAGAGUAGACUUAAUGGGCCAUUUGAUGAUUCUUCUGCUGAGACACCGUGAGCGAACGCAUAAAUUUUAAAUGCAAUUUGUAUUUUCUUUUGUUUUUGUCUCUGUGGUAAGGCGUUAUCUGUCAAAAUAGUGCAAAUAAUGUCAUACAUUCUCUUUUCUUCCUUCUUCUGGACAUGCACUACAUGUGAAUCAAUGAACAUCUGUUUUUAACAUCAUUUUAACUGUCUACCAUGUGAAAAAAUGGUGGAAAACUCGCCAUUUGUUACCAAGAACCUAACUAUAUGAUCAACAAAAAGUUUUAUCCUUACAUUGGUAAAUAAGUUAGAUAGUGCAAAAAAAUCUUACUAAAAUUGAUGUUAUCAAAAUCUAUUUUUGCAAUUUCAAAAAAAGCUGGAAAAAAUCUAUUGUUUGCAUAUACAGAAUCAGAUUUAUAAAGCAUUUGUAAGCCUUAGAAGAAUAAAGCAUUUUAUUUCUCAUUUGUUAUGGCUCCUGGUAUUUCUCAAUUUGUUAUUCAUGGAAGAUUAAAAACAGAAAUAUGAGAUGAUAUUGUAGGAAAACCAAUCAAUGGCACAUAUCAGUAAACCAAGCCAAACUGUUUACAUACAUUAAAUUCCCUCAUUGUUUUCUGUAUUUUGUGUCAUUGAUGAUAUCACCUUGUGUAGUAUAAAAUAAAAUUACAACCAUUUGAUUUAUGUUCUGUACUUAAUUUCUUCUCUUUCUGGAGAUAUACAUGCACACCUGAAAAUUUUAAACCUGAAACUCAGGACAACACUAAGAGAUGGUUGAUCAUUUUCUCGCUGCCUUCUCUACCACAGGACAAAAAAUUUAUUUUCCUGUAAUAUUUUCAAAAUGUCACAAUCCACAUUCGAAAACAUCAUAUAAAUGGAAGCAUCUGUCAUCAUUGUCCUCUUUGUGGCUUUAGAGAUAAUCUCUUGAACCUCUACAAAUAAAAGGAGAACCUAAACCCGGCAUCAAUACCAUUGAGGUAAAUGACCUAAAGAGUCCUGACCUUCAUGCUGUUUAAAUCCUGCGUGUAUAUAUUCCUGUAUGAAUGUAUCCACUACCAUUAAAUCACCAUCGCACAAUUUGUUUUUCAUUUCAUGUGUUUCUCUAAAACACCGCCCACCGCCACCAUGUCAGUUGGCCUCAGCUCGCAGUAAGCCUAUUUCGGAGAGCUUCGCGUAGCAGCAUUCAACAGCUGGUGUCUGUAUUUAAAGAGCGCCACACUGGAGUAUGUUGUACGAGGGCCAUUGACACAGUGAUCCCCAAGAACACGAGGGGCGCUCGGCUGUUUGGCCCAUGCCAGACGCUCUCAACAUAAACACGCAAAACAGAGGCAGACGGGGGGCAGCUGCCAUAAAUAGAUGCAACCAUUCUUCAAUACAGGGUUACAUGCAAAAGCAGACGUCCAAGACGGUAGAUUUGUCCCACCUUCAGUGGUUUUGUUGUGUUUACAAAGUCAGAUUGUGAUACCUGUGCCCAUGUUUGUCAGUUUGAAUACAUACAGUUAUACUUGAUGAACAAAUGAUGAGGAGAAAGGAAAGGAAAGGAAAAGAAAUAGGAAAGGAAAGGAUAAGGGGACCAUCCUGUCUGUCUGCCCCCACCGUGGGAUUAUGGACAGCUGUUUAAUCUGACCAGCUCCAGAGACAGGACACACAUGCACAUCAUGCUCUGGAUUUUACUUUUAAUACAUUAGGAAGUCUGCUCGGUCUGAAACCCCAUCUGUGACCACCUGUGAUUCCACCGUGCUAUGUGCUGAAGAACAAAAGCCGUAUACCAAAAAGAGGAGAAGUGAAUCACCUGCAGACGUUGACCUGUUUUGGAGGUUCAGGUGUAGCUUUUCGAACACGUACGUCUGAAAGGAGCCACUUUGAAACCAAUGCAGGCGAAAAUAGAUCCACUCAAUUCUACUGCCAUCUGUCCUAAAUACUCCUGCAUAUUAGGCUGAAAAUAAACCAGCGUGGUACAAUCAUUACCUACCUUGCUGCUGCUGCUGCCUGUGCUUGUUUGUCUGUGUUUCUCAGACUCUGAGAACAGCUGUAUGUCUGUACGGUUUGACGUAAUCGGGGCUAAAAGAUUGCUCACCAAAGAAGCAGUCUGCAGUCUGCGUUCUAAAAAUGUUCUCUGUCUUCUGCUCUCCCCUUGUGCCAUGAUGAAACGAGAUGAAAAACAAUUCACUGCAAGAGGCACUAAACCACAGAGAGCACGCCGAACAACUGGAUGAGCGCAGUUUGGUGGGUUCUUCAAACCUUCUGAAGUCCUUCUGGAAUCUUAUUAAAGAUUUAAAGACACAAGCUCUCAUUGGAGCGCCAUCAAGAUAAACAUAUGAGUACAAAUCGUUUUACAUUAGACUGCACUUCUGAGGAUGGAUUUAAACUCAUUUUACAUCUCAUUUUGUGUGUGGACUCUAUGCAAUGUAUAUGUGUGCAUGCCCAUAAGCAUUUCCACUGAAAAUACAGCUGCAGCUUAUUAGCUCUGGCUAACCGCUGCAGAACAGUUCCCUUAAAAUCCCCUCGCCUAUUCAAUCUCUUGUACUCCACAGAGACUCCGUCGGUGACCACAUAGGCCUAAAACUCUAUCUCUCUCUCUCUCCGUCUCUUGCUCCUGCCCUCCCACUGUAAUUCCUCAGUCUCCAGGAAUGCUGUUGUUUUUAAUUUCUCCCAGCUGCUCUGGCUGGCUGCCCAGCCGCCUGCCUUUCCACAUCUGUUCCCUAUCAGGCCGCUGUGGAGUCCACACAAACAGAGAAUAAGCCCCCCUGCCACUCUCCCCCCCCUAAGGUCUUUAUAUCAAAACAUUUUGGGAUUGUAGCUCUGUCCCUUGGACAUGAGACUUAUGGGUGCAGAACCGCCCACUUUUUCUUACAGGCAGAAAAUGACAUUUUUAGGAAAAACAAUACAGUUGGCCCAGAACCAAAACACCAUCUGACAGCUACAAAGAGCAAAAACAAGCAUGCUUUCUACAUCUGCCAAUGAGUUUUGUGUUUUAAAACAUGCCUGCUAUCUAACAGCGUUUGGAUUCUAUCACAGGUGAGUUGGGAAUGUGUUUAUAUCCUUUCAUAUGUCUGCACAGGAAGCCACUCUUGCAGCAAGAUCGCAGACUCUGGUUCAUCUUGUGCUGAUUUGGAGUUCGGAGUCUUUACAGCCCUCACUAAUAACAGGGUGGGAGUCAGACUAGUACUUGCACAUGCUUUUAGACGUUUGUCUGUGUAAGUUAAUGCAUUUCGGCUACUUCACUCCAAUCUCUAUAACAGGCUGUUCCUGUGGUGGAAAAUCAAUUUUUUUUUUGCUCAUAAAACAUAAAUAAAAAAAAACCCUUACAAGUCUACAAAAUGCUGGUGCUUUUGUUAAGGACACAAACACAGACAUUUUCCCGUGUUACUUAAGAAUCGCUGUGAUAGUACACAGAGCCGGCUGAACAAACACGUUGAGCACAAAACAAAGCUGGGGAAUGGGAGGACUGGGGUUGCGAGGGUGGGUGUGUGUGUGUGUGUGCGUGGGUGUGUGUGGGGGGCUUAGGGGGUCAUCUGUUCUUCCCACUAAGCACUGAAAAAAACCCAUCCUGUCUUUGAUCAGAUUACAGCAAUCAAAUCACCGAGAGGUCACCAGCUUUUUCAAGUCAAAAGUAUCCAGAUCUUCUUUUAUUGGUUAAACUGGCAAGAAAAGCUGGACUACCUCGAGGACAAGCGGGAAGGGAAUGAUGAAUCAAAGGCAAUUUAUCCGGGGCCAGAGGUGCUAAGGUUAGAGGAGUUGUAUUUCUGUCUCACCAAUCUGCAGGGAUUCUGUCAUACCGAGCUUAUAUCUGCGAGAGCUGUUGAUGUAAUUGUAUUGAAGUUCUAGCGACCAUCUGUUCUCCUUUGGGAGGGCCUGGCUCCUCUUGUCGGCAGUGAAGUGGUUAUGUGCAGCAUAUCACUGCUGCCGACGUGCUCACGGAGAAAAAACUUCCUUUUCAGAUUUUCCCAACGGCUGCUAAUAAAAUCCAGAUGCUA